UAGAAGAUCCUGCUGGAGCCCUGAUCAAGGACCCAGUGUGGAGCAGUUUUUGGCACUUUGGUUUUCAGCAGGGCUUCUGGGUCUUAAAUCACAAGCUCCCAUAGCUUCAGUCACAGAAAACAGACAGGUUGUCUGCUGGUAUCUAUAUUGCAGAAGCAGGUGGUCAGCAAAUUACUCCGGGGUUUAAAAUGGUGUUUAAUUGGAAUCACCUGGAAAAAGUGGGCAACACAUUGAAAAUCUACUUCAUAGAGUUCUGGAGAGGCUUCCAGAAAUGAUACAGGUUUGAAGAUGUUCAUAUUUUCAUGAGGGUAGGCAAGAGGAGAAAGCAAAUUGCUCUUAGCUGCUCCUUUUUAUAAGGUAAUCCUGUGAUGCUGAUAUGAAAUGAUUUGUGUCUUUAACGGAUAUCUCAUUUACUGUUAGUGGUAGUCAUAAUUUUAAUUCAGUGUGCUAAUGCUCUCCUUUACUCCUUAAGGUAUAUUGGACUUUUAUUUCAUUACAGGAACAAUGCAAGUUCAAAUUGGUCUGUAAGUUUCAGAAACUUUGGGCUUAUUGAGGAGGCUACCUGACCACUCUUCUGGUAAAGCAUUAGUAAAAGUUGAGAAAACAAAAUCUUCUAAAAUGUGCUUGUGUAGACACAUUUCACUUGAGAGACCAAGUUCUUGAAUAUCUGAGGGCAGUUUGAGUUGUAAAGAUUUUAUGUGGCCUCAAGACUAUGAAGGCCUGUACCCUUCUUAGCUGCCACCUUCAUGAGCUUUUCUUGUUUGUUUGAUUUUUUUUUUUUUAAUAGAUUCCUUAUUCUAAACCAUCCCAUGAUCUAGAGUCACGUGGAGAACAGAUGCUGAAUUCUGCACCUUUUUUAAUGCCAUGUGUUGAAAAUCCAAUGGUUUCUCCUUUUCAGUUAAAAAUACUGAGAAAAUACGGG
Pezoporus flaviventris is the source of this 922-nucleotide long non-coding RNA. RefSeq lists it as uncharacterized. The record is from RefSeq and is a predicted model, not a curated record. NCBI's taxonomy places the organism in Eukaryota, Metazoa, Chordata, Aves, Psittaciformes, Psittacidae. The transcript is spliced from 3 exons.